This 352-nucleotide ribosomal RNA is filed under the name Epirrita dilutata (November moth). Its description in RNAcentral is "partial 12S ribosomal RNA". The record is from RNAcentral. Lineage: Eukaryota; Metazoa; Arthropoda; Insecta; Lepidoptera; Geometridae.
CAUACCUUAAUUUUUAAUCAUUUUAUCAUAUUAGAUAAAAUUACAUUUAAAUCCACUUUCAAUUAAUUUUUACAAAUUAAUAUUCAUUUAAAUAAAUUUAUUGUAACCCAUUAUAUUCUUAAUUAUAAUCUGCAUCUUGAUCUGAUUUAAUUUUUUUUAAUAAUUUUUAAAUAUUAUUUUUAUUAAAAAAUAUUUUUUUAACAACGAUAUACAAAAUAAUAAAUUAAGUAAAUUUAAUCGUGGAUUAUCAAUUAAUAAACAGGUUCCUCUAAAUAAACUAAAAUACCGCCAAAUUAUUUAAGUUUCAAUAAAUAAUUACAUACUAUUUUANAAUAAAAAUUAUAAUUUUAAA